UGACAAGAAAUAACAAUACAGGACCUCACGGUUUUGUAAUUGGAAUGAGUUAAGUAUAAACCCCUUAACGAGUAUCAAUUGGAGGGCAAGUCUGGUGCCAGCAGCCGCGGUAAUUCCAGCUCCAAUAGCGUAUAUUAAAGUUGUUGCAGUUAAAAAGCUCGUAGUUGAUUUUCUGUUAAUUUUUAUGUAUAAUAUUGCGAUAUUUACAUAAUAUUAACAUAAUUCACAUUACUUUACAGUAUGUGGAAUUUUACUUUGAGAAAAUUAGAGUGCUUAAAGCA
This 281-nucleotide ribosomal RNA is filed under the name Cryptosporidium scrofarum. RNAcentral's name for it is "partial 18S ribosomal RNA". It matches the Rfam family "Eukaryotic small subunit ribosomal RNA", at positions 468 to 782 of the family's 1831-position model. The record is from RNAcentral. Lineage: Eukaryota; Apicomplexa; Conoidasida; Eucoccidiorida; Cryptosporidiidae.